CGGCGGUGCGCGGCGGUGUCCAGCGAGCCAUCCUCACCCAGCUCCAGCCGGCUGAGCUCAGGCGCUUCCUGCGGACAGCGCAGCUCAGGGUGCGGCUGGGACUGCCAGGGGCUGGCAAGACCUGCAGCUGCUGGACACAGGCCACAGAGCUGGUGCCUCCCGCGCCAUCACUGCAGUGCAGCCCGGGUGGACGGAGGAAGCCAAGGGGAACGGCCUGGGCUCAGAGUAAGGAGACCUUGCCCCGGGGGACAAACGGUGUCUGAAGUGUAGGGGUGAAGCGGUCUCCAGUCCUCAGGGGCCUGGAAAUCAGCUCCUUGGGACACGGUCUUCUGUGUAUUGACCAUUCUCCCCAUCCAUUCCCUCUUCGGAAUGUUUCAGCUGUUCUGAGAAAACACUUUGCAUUCCUGCCCCGCCCCUGUGAUUUCUCUUUGGGCGGCAGCCAGGAGAGGCUGGAGGCCUGGGGAGAUGGGGGCAGGGCACAAGGCUGAGCUCAGCACCUUCCUCCACCCUCCUCACUGUACUCAACUCCUAGGCGGGCACUAAGAGCAGCUGCCUUCCUGGACCCACCUUAACCUCUUGCGACUCAACUCCCCUUUCCAGGGUGCAGGGAACAUUCCCUCUGCCCUGCCUUCCAGCUCUGGCCACAGUGGCCUGGACAGAGUAGCUGGGUCCCAGGCCUGCCC
RNAcentral lists this small RNA (683 nucleotides) under Pan troglodytes (chimpanzee). RNAcentral describes it as "retained intron". Lineage: Eukaryota; Metazoa; Chordata; Mammalia; Primates; Hominidae. The record is from RNAcentral.